This 494-nucleotide ribosomal RNA is filed under the name uncultured bacterium. Its description in RNAcentral is "bacterial SSU rRNA". It matches the Rfam family "Bacterial small subunit ribosomal RNA", at positions 12 to 518 of the family's 1533-position model. The record is from RNAcentral.
UUCGAUUCUGGCUCAGGACGAACGCUGGCGGCGUGCCUAACACAUGCAAGUCGAACGGAGAUAUUCGUAGCAAUAUGAGAUAUCUCAGUGGCGGACGGGUGAGUAACGCGUGAGUAACCUGGUUCCAAGAGGGGGAUAACCCAGAGAAAUCUGUGCUAAUACCGCAUAACGUACCGAGACGGCAUCGUCAUGGUACCAAAGGAGAAAUCCGCCUGGAAAUGGACUCGCGUCCGAUUAGAUAGUUGGUGAGGUAACGGCCCACCAAGUCUGCGAUCGGUAGCCGGACUGAGAGGUUGAACGGCCACAUUGGGACUGAGAUACGGCCCAGACUCCUACGGGAGGCAGCAGUGAGGGAUAUUAGGCAAUGGGGGAAACCCUGACCUAGCAACGCCGCGUGAAGGAAUAAGGUCUUCGGAUUGUAAACUUCUUUGACGAGGGACGAUAAUGACGGUACCUCGAAAACAAGCCACGGCUAACUACGUGCCAGCAGCAGC